GACGAACGCUGGCGGCGCGCUUAACACAUGCAAGUCGAGCGAAGCGGCGGACGGGUGAGUAACACGUGAGUAACCUGCCUUAGACAUUGGGAUAGCCUCGGGAAACCGGGAUUAAUACCAAAUGGUCUAAGAUGGACUCGCGUCCCAUUAGCUAGUUGGGAUGUAACGGCCCACCAAGGCGACGAUGGGUAGCCGGCCAGAAGGGGUAGACGGCGACAUUGGAACUGGGAAACGGUCCAAACUCUACGGGAUGCAGCAGUGGGGAAUAUAGCACAAUGGAGGGAAUGCUGAUGCAGCGACGCCGCGUGAACGAAGAAGGCUUUCGAGCCGUAAAGUUCUUUUAUAUGGGAAGCGGUACCAUAAGAAAAAGCCCCGGCUAACUACGUGCCAGCAGCCGCGGUAAUAC
Molecule: ribosomal RNA, 406 nt
Filed under: uncultured bacterium
Lineage: Bacteria
Description: partial 16S ribosomal RNA
Rfam family: Bacterial small subunit ribosomal RNA
Source: RNAcentral